Molecule: ribosomal RNA, 454 nt
Filed under: uncultured organism
Description: partial 16S ribosomal RNA
Rfam family: Bacterial small subunit ribosomal RNA
Source: RNAcentral
GUACACUCCUACGGGAGGCAGCAGUGGGGAAUAUUGGACAAUGGGCGCAAGCCUGAUCCAGCCAUGCCGCGUGAGUGAUGAAGGCCCUAGGGUUGUAAAGCUCUUUCACCGGUGAAGAUAAUGACGGUAACCGGAGAAGAAGCCCCGGCUAACUUCGUGCCAGCAGCCGCGGUAAUACGAAGGGGGCUAGCGUUGUUCGGAUUUACUGGGCGUAAAGCGCACGUAGGCGGACUAUUAAGUCAGGGGUGAAAUCCCGGGGCUCAACCCCGGAACUGCCUUUGAUACUGGUAGUCUUGAGUUCGAGAGAGGUGAGUGGAAUUCCGAGUGUAGAGGUGAAAUUCGUAGAUAUUCGGAGGAACACCAGUGGCGAAGGCGGCUCACUGGCUCGAUACUGACGCUGAGGUGCGAAAGCGUGGGGAGCAAACAGGAUUAGAUACCCCUGUAGUCCCAUGAU